This 1322-nucleotide ribosomal RNA is filed under the name Salmonella enterica subsp. enterica serovar Senftenberg. RNAcentral describes it as "partial 23S ribosomal RNA". It matches the Rfam family "Bacterial large subunit ribosomal RNA", at positions 1638 to 2925 of the family's 2925-position model. RNAcentral also lists the same sequence under 3 other names. The record is from RNAcentral. Lineage: Bacteria; Pseudomonadati; Pseudomonadota; Gammaproteobacteria; Enterobacterales; Enterobacteriaceae.
CAAAUCGUACCCCAAACCGACACAGGUGGUCAGGUAGAGAAUACCAAGGCGCUUGAGAGAACUCGGGUGAAGGAACUAGGCAAAAUGGUGCCGUAACUUCGGGAGAAGGCACGCUGACACGUAGGUGAAGUGAUUUACUCAUGGAGCUGAAGUCAGUCGAAGAUACCAGCUGGCUGCAACUGUUUAUUAAAAACACAGCACUGUGCAAACACGAAAGUGGACGUAUACGGUGUGACGCCUGCCCGGUGCCGGAAGGUUAAUUGAUGGGGUCAGCGCAAGCGAAGCUCCUGAUCGAAGCCCCGGUAAACGGCGGCCGUAACUAUAACGGUCCUAAGGUAGCGAAAUUCCUUGUCGGGUAAGUUCCGACCUGCACGAAUGGCGUAAUGAUGGCCAGGCUGUCUCCACCCGAGACUCAGUGAAAUUGAACUCGCUGUGAAGAUGCAGUGUACCCGCGGCAAGACGGAAAGACCCCGUGAACCUUUACUAUAGCUUGACACUGAACAUUGAGCCUUGAUGUGUAGGAUAGGUGGGAGGCUUUGAAGUGUGGACGCCAGUCUGCAUGGAGCCGACCUUGAAAUACCACCCUUUAAUGUUUGAUGUUCUAACGUGGACCCGUAAUCCGGGUUGCGGACAGUGUCUGGUGGGUAGUUUGACUGGGGCGGUCUCCUCCUAAAGAGUAACGGAGGAGCACGAAGGUUGGCUAAUCCUGGUCGGACAUCAGGAGGUUAGUGCAAUGGCAUAAGCCAGCUUGACUGCGAGCGUGACGGCGCGAGCAGGUGCGAAAGCAGGUCAUAGUGAUCCGGUGGUUCUGAAUGGAAGGGCCAUCGCUCAACGGAUAAAAGGUACUCCGGGGAUAACAGGCUGAUACCGCCCAAGAGUUCAUAUCGACGGCGGUGUUUGGCACCUCGAUGUCGGCUCAUCACAUCCUGGGGCUGAAGUAGGUCCCAAGGGUAUGGCUGUUCGCCAUUUAAAGUGGUACGCGAGCUGGGUUUAGAACGUCGUGAGACAGUUCGGUCCCUAUCUGCCGUGGGCGCUGGAGAACUGAGGGGGGCUGCUCCUAGUACGAGAGGACCGGAGUGGACGCAUCACUGGUGUUCGGGUUGUCAUGCCAAUGGCACUGCCCGGUAGCUAAAUGCGGAAGAGAUAAGUGCUGAAAGCAUCUAAGCACGAAACUUGCCCCGAGAUGAGUUCUCCCUGAGACUUAGAGUCUCCUGAAGGAACGUUGAAGACGACGACGUUGAUAGGCCGGGUGUGUAAGCGCAGCGAUGCGUUGAGCUAACCGGUACUAAUGAACCGUGAGGCUUAACCUUACAACGCCGAAG